This is a long non-coding RNA of Crotalus tigris (Tiger rattlesnake), 957 nucleotides long. RefSeq lists it as uncharacterized. Lineage: Eukaryota; Metazoa; Chordata; Lepidosauria; Squamata; Viperidae. The record is from RefSeq and is a predicted model, not a curated record. The transcript has 4 exons.
CUCCCCCCUCCCUUCUUGCUCCCUCUCUGAGGAAACGGCAAGAUGGCGGCCGGCGAUGGCGGGGUCGUCGCUGGGCCUCCCCUCUCCCCUCUCCCAGGGAAUUUUAAGGGGGGAAAGGCCGCCCUCCUCGCCGGCGGACCCUGGCCGCCUCCUCUCUCAGGGCCGUCCUGCACGACGGCCUUGCCAGGUCCACAACUAGAGGAUGGGAUGGUCCGCUUCAACGGCAGGCUUUGCGAGUGCAGCUUCAACAACCCCAGUGCUGACGACAUGCACCUCAUGGAACGCAUCGGCUGCACUUUAAGAAGAAGGUCAGCCCAGGACCGCUAGUCGGGAUCAAGGCCGCAACCAAGCCUGGACUUGGCGGUCGGAGAAGCUGAAGUGGUAUCUAGAGAAAGAGCAGCCGUGGCUCCUGGAGUUCUCAGCACUGGGAUACAUUUAUAGUUGAAUUGCCUCGUUCAGUAGUCAUGCUCUUCCUGGAUUCCAUGAGCCUCUGUGGAAUCCAAAGUUGAAUUUUGAAGAAGCGGGUAAAACAGAGCAUUGGCACUUCUGAAGUUUGGUGUUUGAGAAGACCAUUGACACCCAAGAAAACAAUAGGACAAAUCAACCCAGAAUUCUUAUUCUAGUCCACAAUUACUUUAAUUAUUUUUCCAAUAUUGAGGAACACUAGCCUAGGUGAUGCUCCCCAAACACCAACCACAUUCUGAAUCUGGUCUGUCAGGAAGGACCAAGACUGCCACAGAACAGUGUCUCCAAGGCUCAAUCCUGCUGGAUGGUCGAAGUAAUAUCUCCAUUGAUGGCACUGAAGCCCAUUAAAAGUCCAGGAAUAUUAGCAGUGUGGUGAAACACACCUCUGUCUCACAAGGCAUUGACAAUUUCCCCAUGGAAUAAGCCACAAGUAAUGUCCAGAGAGCCAGUUUGGUGUUGUGGUGACGGUGUUAGGCUUUAACCUGGGAUACG